Molecule: ribosomal RNA, 256 nt
Filed under: uncultured bacterium
Lineage: Bacteria
Description: partial 16S ribosomal RNA
Rfam family: Bacterial small subunit ribosomal RNA
Source: RNAcentral
UACGGAGGGUGCAAGCGUUGUCCGGAAUCACUGGGCGUAAAGGGCGCGUAGGCGGCUCAUGAAGGCUGUGGUGAAAGUCCGGGGCUCAACCUCGGAUCGGCCGUGGCGACUCGUGGGCUGGAGCACUGUAGAGGCGGGUGGAAUUCCGGGUGUAGCGGUGGAAUGCGUAGAGAUCCGGAAGAACACCAGUGGCGAAGGCGGCCCGCUGGGCAGUGGCUGACGCUGAGGCGCGACAGCGUGGGGAGCAAACGAGGAU